GGCAGCAGUCUGCUGCAGUGACAAUGUGUGCUGCAGAGCAGGGCAGUUUGUGUGUUAACACAGAGCACAGUUCUGUCUUUCACAGCACUCAGGUGAGGUGAGGAUGGUGCUGCUCCUGUCCCGUUUGCUGCUGACAGAACCAGCAGGAGCAGAUAUGGCUCUCAGGGUUCAGAGCCCCUUUCCACCAUUUGUCUUGGUUACAUCUGCACUGCCCUACAUAUGGUAAGCCCCUCUGCAGAAUUCACCUGAACUACUCACAGUAGUCAGGCUUUUACAGGCUCUUGUUUAUUGUGUUAAACAUGGCUUGUAAAAUGAAGUAUGGAGCAUUAAUUAAAAAGAUUUGGAUUCAUGAGGCAUCAUAAUGGAGUUCAAGGUACAGCUAUCACAGAUGUCCAAAGUUAUAUUUAAAAAAUAACGAUUUUUAAAAAAGAUUCCUUGAUGUCCAUUUGUUUUAGCAUGUCUAAAUGAAUAAUGGAAAUAAUUACCUUCAAAUACAUUAUCUUCAUGCCUCACUGUACUUAAACAGAUGCUUGAUCUUAGCAUAGGACUAGUUUUGUUCACUCUAAAGGGACUAAGUUCUUGCUUAGCUUUAAGCACAUUUAAACAUCUUUUUAUGCAGGGGGUGAUAUUUCAAAAAAAUAUAUCAGCUUCUUUGCAUAAAAUAAAUGUUAAAAUAUCAUAUAAUGUAUAAUUUAUGCCAACCAAUUAGCAAGUUAAAAAUUCAGUAUGAAAAAAGGUGUAUCAUUAGACCGUGCAUUUCUUGCUGCAAGAAAUUUUUUAAAAAUGUGUUUAACUAUCUGGAGGUGUAAUUUUAUAUUCCUAAGCAAGAUUUUGUCCAGAGGAUUGUUAUGGGCUUGAGAAACUUCGUUCUUUGCAGCUUGACUCAGAGAGUUCUUCAGUGGCAUGAACAACUUGUAGUUAAAUAAAAUUGUGAGUGUGUAUCAGAAAGUCAAGUUAUUCCCCUAAGAAAUAGUUUUUUAUUCUUCAUAUGGAUAAGGUAGAAUUAACAUUCUGUAAGACUUACAUUUUGUGUAUUGAUAUCUGGUAAAAAAAUGAUACAAUCAAUGGAUGAAAAAGAAAUGGACAUCUCAGGAGUCAUAGAAGGAUGCCAAGAUCAAGGAAUAGGAAGAAGCCAGACAGUAAGAGAGCAUAUGUGUAGCAACAUAUGUCUUGUAAUCUACCAGUGAUAGCACUUGACUUGAAAUUGGACAUAGCUGAAUUAGAUCUUAAAGAUCAGCUAGUUUUAAUGUGCUGUCAUUUUGCACAAUUCAUUAACUAACUGAUAUUGGCAUUUUGGCAAGUAAUUAGUACUGAAUUUCAAAUACAAGAGUUUAAGUAUUAGGAUUUCAUUCUUAUGGAUAUGAUGGCAUAGUUAUGAAAUGUUAUCUCUGCUAUUAAUUCCUCUAAAUCUGACAUCAGAAAAAAAUGUGUUUUAUAGAAAAUGUGGGCAGGGAUGCACACUGCUUUGUAUUUCUCACUCUUGUGUAAUUCAGUUAAGAACUGAAAAAAAGAGUUUUCAGAUAAGUCCCUGGUCUGGGGUGUGCCUUUUUGAAGAAAAUCCUGCUGGAGUGUUGUAAGUUCCAUUGUAAUGAGCUGUUUCUGGUUGAAAAAAAUGAAAAGAGGGAACCAAUUUUUAGAGAUUCUGAAUAGAUUGGUGGUGAACAUGAAUCGAUAAUUAAAGUACCUCCUAUUUAGAAUUCUAAGUAAUAUUUUUGACUGCCUGAGCAGGAAUAUGAGAGCAUAUUAAGUUUUGAGAAGUUAAGAAAGAAAAAUAGUUAAAGAAAGAGUUGUGUCUUCAAGGUCCUAAUCCAGCAAAAUUUGUACAUAAAUAAUAAGCACUAAACAAUUCCUUUAUCUUCAUCCAGUGCAACCCUUCAGACUUUGAACAAAGCCACGAUGUCAGUGAAAUGUAAGCAUGCAUUCAGAAUAAAUAUUUAUGAAAUAAUUUCAAAUAUUCAGUAAUGUUAAUCCCAGAUUAUAAAACAGACUGACCAUAAAUAUAUAUGACUUCUGUCACUCAAUUCCUCCAAGCCCUCCACAAAGAGAAAAAAAAGAAAAAAAAGAUAAAAUUCACUUUUGUUAUAUUCUAAUUUAUAGCCUCUUUAUAGCCUUGAACAUCCCCUUUAUUCACAGACCUUCUGAAACUUUAUUCCCAGAGAUGUUAGACUGGAAAUAUGGAAGCAACUUGUGGUAUCAAAGAGAUGUAGUCCUUCCUAAAAUGGCAGCUCUUCAGUUUUCAGAGCAAGAUAUGGGAAGCACAGGCAAAGGGUCAUCAAAUGAAAACUUGCUGACCUGAUGGCUGGCUCCUUAUAUCUCUUUUUAGGUUGAGGCUGAGGUUGCUUCACAGUCUUGACCAGAUUCUGCAUACUCAAUUGUUUUGUAUUAAUCUAUUCAGUAAUCACAGAUGUUGCUAGCUUUAACAAGAAAUAAAGUUUGUGGGUCAAGUUUUUCUUUCCUGAUGAAGCAUAAAAAUAAUUAUUAACUUUGAAAAUAAUUUUCUUUGUGGCAUUUGUUUUAGUAUUUAAUGGAACUGUUGACUUUUAAACCUCAGCCAGCUCCUUCCUACAUCUCCUAAAUUCCUGUUGUUAGCUUAGGUACCUUUUGUUAUUUCCUGCAACAUAUUUGCCGAAACAGCCUUAUCUUGCUCUUGUAUGAUUAUUUCAAAAUCAUCUAAUGUGCCUUGAGUUAAGUCAAUGAGAGAUGUUCUUUCUGUGAAACAAGUCAUCCAUGAAAUGAGGUCAGCAGUCCUUCUUCCUGAAUCUCCCUUAUAUUCCUUCAUAAAUUUGUCAUGUCAUCAUAACUCCCAUUUAAAUCAGAAAAAGAGGCAGAGGAGAAAUGGAAGACAGAUUAUUCUAUAAAUUUUGAGUAUUCUAUUUGGUCCCUUUUUAUGACAUUGCACCUACAACACUCUUGUUAUUGGAGAAGAUUUAAUGCUCCUUCAGAGUGCUUGGUUUGGUGGUUGACAGUCAUCAGAGACUCUUUCUGGAGCUGCUCCAAUAACAUGUGCCUGCUCUUUAUUAUUGGUAGGACAUGGAGAUUUUAAGCCCUGAUUGGCUGAAUAUGACAUGAUUUGGGAGUAAAAACAUGCAUUCUUCCCUUUCAAUGUCAGCGUUUCAAGUCUGGAAUAUCACAAGUUUAAUUUCCCUUCCAUCAAACAUGGAUAAAAGACCUAAGCUAAGGACAAUAACCUGAUGUUGAGAGGAUGAAUUUCUGGUAUGUAGAAUGACUGCCAUAAACUUAGAGACUUUGCUAGGUCUGAGACAGACUGACUAGCCUAUUAAAAUCUCCAAGAUUAAAAGUACAUGUCCUCAGUCAUAGUAAAAGUAAAUAAUGAAGUCCUUUGUGUUGUGAUUUGAUUUUUGGAUUUGAAGAUAACUUCUAAAAAGAACUCCACUUUACCUGGAUUAGUACCUAUGGUGUCAAUCUUCUGAAAGAACUCUAAACUAUAAUUGAAGUUUCUAUCUUCUGUCCUUUUCUACUUAUUCCAUAAGAGAUGCUGAGAAAGAUAUAUUUUCUUGUUUCAAAGUUCAGCUAUUCUUUCCUUGAUCAGAUUGUUUUUCUCCUGCUUCAUUCCCCUGCCCCUGACUCCAACUCGUAAUAGGUGUUAUUAUAUUUCAGUAUCCUAAGUUUAUGUUUCAUGCUGAGAGAAAAUAAUACUCUUGAUUAAAAAGUAAACUACAUGUAGUGUAAUAUUUAAAGUAGUAGAUUUCAGUCAUCUUUGAUUAUGCUUCCUCAAGCAUAUCUUUAUCUACAAACUGUUUAAAAUUCACAAAAUGCGCAAAAAAUUUUGUUUGACCGUUCUGCUAUUCUUGUUACUCUAUUGAAUUGAGCCUGUCUCAUGGUUUAUGCGUAUUCUGUUUUCUGGCUGGAAAAGGGAAAGCUAUUCUCAUCUUUUAUGCUACAUGCUAGUAUAAUGUAGAUAAUAAAUCAUGUAAAACUUCAAGCAUUUCUUUCAUGAAAGGCAAAAAAAGUUUUUCUGAAAAAAAAACCCCACACCAAAGCAAGAGCAGAGAGAAAUAAUUAAACUAUUUUUUAUUACUUGUACAUGUUUCAAAUCCAAUUUAUUUCAAAAUCUGCAUGUUGCUAAAUAACAAGCAAUGGUACUACAUGCCACAUUAAGGAUUUAAGGAAUUCAUUAGAAUGAUUUAAACUUUUUUUGGGCAAAAGUCAAAAGAACUGGCAAAAUAUCAGAGCUGAGAAUAACACCCAGGCUAUUGCUGUGCCAGUUGCUGCACUUGCUACAACAGACCUAAAUGGGUUAUUCUUAAGCUUCUAACAUGAAAGUAUAUUUAGCAUUUUAAAAAUACUUUUCUUUCAUUUUGAGGCAGUUUUGUAAGAAGUGCUAUGGAAAUCUAAGGCACAGAAAAAUCUUUUAAAUCAUCAAUGCUUGAACAUAAGCAAUGAAAGCAGGGUUUAAAUUGUCUCGCAGACAAAUAAUACUUCCUGUUGAGCUGACCCAUUCCGUGACACUAUUUAAGUGAAUUUUUCUUGCUGUUUAUGAUCUCUUAUUUGCUCUGUUACACUUCAAAGCUGUGUUCUAUAAUUUCAGACAGCUUCUGGAACUUUCAUCUUCAGGACCUUGAUGCUUUACUUAAUUAAGUGAUGUACAGGCUUCAAGAUAUGGAGUUUGGACAUAAAGGAUUAUGUUAAAUGACAUAGAGCUGAUCUGAUCUGAGGUUCCAUAUGAUGUGGAACUGGGGAUCAAGUGGCCCAAGAUGUGGGCUACCCUCUUCAGCUGGAUUGCCUGUAAAUCUGCAAUGGGUAAAAAAUGCUCACUCUAGGUAUAAAAGACUCUUGGGCACAUGGUGUGACUCUUGGGGAUGGUGCUGUGAGGGCUGGGAGUUGAUGAUCCUUGUGGGUCUCUUCCAGCUCAGUUUGUUAUGUAAUUCUGUGAAUAUCAGCACAAAGCUUGACAUAAAUUUCCUUCCCUACAAAGACCACACUUGUAUAGUUUGGGCAAAAAGAUGCUUCCUUUCUGAUUCUGAUCAUGUUGAAGUAUGUACAGUAAAGUUAGUUAACAUCUCGUGCUUGUCAAGAACAGUACGAUUUCAGUACAUACUUGGUACCCUAGGAACCUUAAAAAAAAAAAAAAAAAAAAAGAAAAAAAGGAAAAGAUAAGAACUGUCCUUCAGAUUAAUAAGAAGACUGGUGUUCUUUUAAAGAUCAAAAAUUGAUACAUGCUAUAUUUCGGCACUAUGAAAUUUCAGUGUAUGCAUCCAAUUCUGUCUGCCUGUGAUCCUGAAUUCCUUGUGUGGGUCAAAUUUUAUUUUAACCACCAAACAGUUACUUGUCAAACCCUGUAAAGUUCACCAGUUCCCUAAAAAAGUCUUUAGAAUCUUGAGUUGUAGAAGUAUUUCAGAGACAUAAUUUCUUCUCUCUCCUUCAUUAUUUCAUCCUUUGGAUGGGACAAGUAAUGAUUAGUUAGUUAAUAUUCAUAAAAUAUUUGGCAUGUAUAAUAAGUUGAUUUGCCAGGCUUUGUUUAGGUAGCAGAUUGAAUGAUAAGGUGCAUUCAUGGAAGCUACCCUACUGGAGACUUAGUGGAACAUCUUAUAUGCUGACAUUUAUGUAGGGGAAAAAUACAUAUGUGGAAGAAAUACAACUGCCUUCAACAGAAAGCUAUUUAUCCCCCUCUUGUAAUGCAAAAUAAUAGAAGAUAGAAGGAUGGCUGACUGAGGAAGAAAUUGUCAGCCAGUUAGGGAAGGUGAAUGAAAGCUAAAAAGAAUCAGUGGGAAAAUUAAUAUUAUAUUUUAAAUUCAAUCCAGCAUCUGUUCCUGUUGAAACUGGUUAAGGCUCUGGAAGAGGCUGCUGGCUGGGCUGGCAACUCUAACUAACCCAGCAUUACCAGAGGACUGUUCUCUGAUGGAUACAUCUGCUUAGAUCAAGAGGUUGAAAGGGGCUCAAUUUGUAACCGGUGUGUUGGAAAGUCAGGUUCAACAAGAUUUCCUCUGUGUGUGUGCAUGUGUGUGUAUGGAACAAGACAGGAAAAUUUUCUUUCAGUAUAUAGUGAAAGGAAGAUGAUUAAUGAUUUAGGAUUCUUUUCACACUGCAGUAAAAAUUAAUUAAAGAUGUGCUGCCUUUAAGCAAUUCUAUGCUUACAAUGAUAAAUAUGGAAAUGUGCUGCAUUUUGCUGAAUAAAACCCACUGUCUUUACAACACACAGAAAAGAAUUGUAUCCACAUCCUCUUUUAUGUAAACACUGUGAAAUUCAAUUGUUAAGGGUUCAGCUGAAUGUCUCUCCAUGAUUAAAGAAAAGCAAUACUGGUGGUAGCAUCUUGAAUAGCAAAUACUUUUUCUCACUUAAGAAAGAAUUGGAAAGAAAAGAUUUUUGUCUUCUGUGGACAUAAGGGCAAGUGAAGGGAAGAGGCAGGAUCAAUAAAUGCUUUCAGUAGCUAAAUAUAUUACAAUUAUGCUGAAUGGGGGGAGAAAUAUUUUUGGUAUUGUUUAUUAAACUGAAUUGUGUUAGAUGUGAGCUCUGAAUCUAUUAUCACAAAUAGGUCCCCAAUCCCUUACCCCUUCUAUUCUUACAAAAUGAAGCUACCAGAGUAAUAUUCCUUUCUAUUGACACUGAGACAUAAUUCCUCUUUUCAAAUCCCAAUGGCUGUCUCUCUAUUACUAUAUUAAAUAAAACCUCUUGUUCUCAAACUUCCACAUAACUUUGAACAUAACUGCAGCUUUAUUUUCCUCUAGUCCAUUUCCUUUUUCCUUCCUCUAGUUGCCAUUUUGAGGGUGUUGGGAGCAUUCCUGGUCUUUUUGCUUCCUCCCUGCCUCCUGCACAGCAGCUGCACAAGCCUGUCCUAGAGACUGUGUAGGAUAGCCCCAGCAGCCUCUUAGAUCAACCUCUGCAAUGCUGCCAGAAGGGACUUGUUCAAAAAGUGCCUUUCAUCUGCUUUCUGCUUGCUCACCUGUCCUUCAGGCUUGUAAAGCCUGCUGCAGCUUACAGUGAUUAUACAGCAAACCAAGGUUAGAAAAAAAAUAUUUAGCAAAUCCUAUUCAUUAGGAACCUGUGUGUGAUCUAGCUAUUCUUAUAGAAAAAUGCUUUAAUAUUGCUGCUGAUUUACUGUUAAGUGAGUAUGUGCAGGUCUCUGUAUGACACAUCAACUAGAGAAUUUAAUUGGUCAGAUGAGAAUACAAAUAUUCACAGGAAUAUUUCUUGUUCCCUUUGGAAUCUGUGGAUAAAGGGGAAAAAUGGAAACUGAGAAACUGAGAGCUAAGCAUGUAACUGCUUUCUAGAGAUAAAGCAGAAUUAUUUGCAGAGUUUGAAGUAGCAGCAGUGGGUGGGCAGUAGCUUCUGUGCCCCCCUUCAGCCAUGUCUGUGUUUUCUCUUUUGAAAGCAUUAUCCUUAUGUCCUUUAUGUGUUGACCAGUGUGUGAAAAGAGACUUGCACGUCUCAGUGCCAAGGCACUGUAACUACAUUGGUAUCAGUGGGAUUACAAACUGAAGGGUCAUCCCAAUCUGUCCAUUUAGGAAUUAAGACAUAGCUAAGAUGCAGAGAGAAGGAUAUACUGGUUUCAUGAAAAUUCAGCUAAACACAGAUAUAUUUUUUGGCAUGAAAUAAAAUUUUCUUGUAAUAUGGAUAAAGAUAAUAUAGAACUAAAAGUUCUAGGAAACUGACAGAUGACUUUUUAGCACCUCUGAGGAUGAAUGUUUUGAUGUAGGCGUAAUGUGCUAAUGAAUUAGCCUUUCAAGUACAAAUGGAGCAAAUAUGCCUCAUUCUAGUCCUAGAGCAUGAAAAGUGUUUGCUCAAACCUAAAAAUGAUCAUAUGCUUCAGCAAACCAUGACAUGAGUGGAAAUUUCCACUUGGUCAAUAGCAAGUAGGUUUUUUUGGUACAGGCUUUAGAAGUGCAGUAAGUAAAAUUAAUGUAAUCUUGUGUAGUUUAGGAUAAUAUUUUACCUAUGUUUCAAUCAGUGUUUCUGAGGCUCGGAUAGAAGAAUUAAGUAAGCUAGAAAGAGAUGAAAACAUGAGUUCUCUGAGCUAGGUUACAGGAGGCGUAUGACCAAACAUAUUUGAGAAGGCGUGUGCCCUUGGGAUAUAUUUCUGUUUGCCAGCAGAUUUUCCCUCUUCUCUUGCAGUGGAACCAGGUCUGUCCUUGAAAAAUUCUCUUAAAAAUCUUAGAAGUCAAGUAAAAACCCAGUGGAGGAAGACUUCAAAUCUGCUUAAUUCUGCAGACAGAAAUAUUAAAUAAAAAUAGGAAAGAUUUUCUGACCACAAGUGAAAAACAGCCGGGAAUAUAGGUUGCCACAAAGCCAUUUUCAGUGAGGAAGGUUAGAGAUGCUUGCUCCAGCAGCCACCAUCCUCCAUUAGUGCCUGUAGCUACACCAGCCUGUGGGUCAUGUUUUAACUAGAGGUUUUUCUAUGCCUGCUUUAUAGUUUGCAGUCCAUUUAGUUCUGUCUGUGCCUUUGCAAGGGCCUGAUUAAAACCAGAACACUGGAAUGAUGUAUGUUAAAAAAAAACCUCCUCUUAAAAAGGGAGAAAGAGUGAGAGGUGUUAUUGGAUAUAACUGUUUAUUCUGGCAAGGGAACUGUGAAUUGUCUUAAAUGGCCAGCAGCAGCUCAGCCUCUCCAAGUCAGGGGAGUGAGGGAGUGUUUGUACUUACAGGCAGUAAUUACAGCUGCUGCUCAUUCCCUACUCUAGAGAAAUUAAGCUGCUCCAGAUUUGAGCAGUACAAAGUGCUAUGUCUCAGUGCCUGUUGACUUUUAUUUUUCUUCCUUCCCUCCUGCAGCACCUCCCUCCUUUGUGCUGCGUCAGCGCAAGUCUUUGUUCAUGUUAGGUGGAUUGGGAAUUAGGGAAUUAAUCUGACUAAAAAAACACAGCAAACCCGAUUACUUACUUCUAUGCCUAAAACCCCUCUGAUGUGAGUAAUGAGGACUAAGUGUACAGAACGAAAUUACUGUAGGAUUCCUUUAAGUACUGGAAAAACUUGGGCAUCUUAUGUGUGCCUAACAGACAACCUUAUUCUAUGCUCACAGAAAUAAUGGAGUUACAGAAAAGGUGGUGUAAAAAAGCAUGACUAUCCAUCAAUUCCAUCCUUUCUAGUAGGCAGGCUGUCACAAAACAUUAAUAAAAUCUCAUUGUUACUCAGCUUUAAACUGUCAACAUCAGCAGUGCUGUGCCAUAACUAAGUACAAAUCUUAUUAGGAAAAAAGCAUUACCUUUUAGAUUUUCCUCUAAAGAAGAAAUAUCUCACUGUUGCAUUCAUUGCUAAACAGAAACUCUAUUAUUUCAGUAAACAGUUUAUAAACAUUAAAAGAAACUGAGUGAGAUUUAUGGGAUUUAAACCAUAGUUUCAUUAUUUGUUAACAGGCUUUAGCUCCUGCAUGGUACUUCAAACAUCCCUCUUGAAUACACUUUUCUGAGUUUUGUGUCUUGAAAGACUGAAAAAAAAAAUAUCUUUCUUACCUGAGGUGGAUUUUCUCAGAAAAUCAGCAAGAAGACCUGAUGUCAAUUACAGGUUUAAGCAGCUGUACAAACAUCACUGAAUAUGCAAAAAUGCAUCUUCAAUGAAUACUUUCUAGUUAGACUAUUAUUUCUCUCAUUAAUAUUUUAAAGUUUUUUUUUUUUUAAUUAAAAUUAAUUUAAGAGACCUGCUAAGAAAAAAUUAGUUAUAACUUAAUUUCCCUUUGACUGGUCUUAUAAUGCAUUGCAUUAAGCAAGAAAUUAUUGUAUAGUGUAUGAUUGUAUGAUUUGUAUGACAAAGUAUGAUGUCUGCUGAUGCCAAUACAUAUACAAAUGGGCUGAAAGGUUAAUACAUCAUAAUUGUGCCUUUGCAGUGACAAGCAAAAUUUGUAACUGGCUUCUUUAUAUUUACAACAAAAUAUUUAUCUUUUCAAUGGACAGGAAUACCCACAAAUGUUUAUUGAUUUUAUUGACAGAUUAACAACUUAUUUUAAAAAUGCAUGAACCUUAUAUAUCAUCCAUUAUUUUAAUAUUUUACUCUUUAUGGGGAUGGGAUAAGAGAAGUCAAUUGUAAUUUGAUUGAAUAAAUGUCAUGCAAGAAGUUUCAUAGAAUAACAAUCUUGCAAAGAAAUGCUCUAGCAGGGGUUUAGUGUGCUGUGUCCUCUAAGAACUAUUUGGUAGUUCUAGGAUGCACAUGAGUAUGUCUGUAGAGGUAAAGAUGACAAAUUCACUGACCUCUAUGCUCUAAAGAUGAAGGCUCGACUAUCAUGAUAAAAAGGAAUGUUUAGUGGCAGGAACAGGAAAGAAAGGAAAGUUGCACUUUUCUGAGAAGCUGAAAUUCAGAGGCUGAUAAGAUCUGAAUGUUGUGAAGGCUGUAAAAUCACUGGGGAUAUGGGAGAAUAUGGAUAUGGAAGUAUGUUUUAGUAGCUGCCAAACCUGUGGUGUAGCUAGAUCAGUGUAUAAACUAAAUUGAAACAAUGCCACAGCAAUGCCCUGUCAAAAUUCCACCAUCAAGCAAAAAUGCUGUACUAAAUGAGGCAAAAAUGAAGUAGAUUAGAUGCUUUCAACAGCUUCUGAGCCAGCUGGUGGCAUUACCAGGAUGGAGGUUUGCACAGUGUCUAGCCAGUCAUUCAUAUCAGCCAUUGCUUUGCAGAGAUAUUCUUAUUUUUUUACUCAUAUUAUAACUACACAAAAAAAGCUGCACUUUCAGCCAAUGAGCAAAGAGUGUAUCAAUAGGAAAUUAGUAGUGGACUUCUGCAUGGUUCAGCAAGGUGAUUACAAACUGAAUUUUUUGUCUGUAGUUUUUCGAGUGCGGGAAAAAAAAAUCUUGGCUAGAAUGAUUACAGUCAGGAGAAACCAAUUAAUUAGAUUUGUGUCCCGUGGAAUGUCUCAGGUGUAUUAAUCUCUAUGUAAAUUCUGUUUUCAAGUAGUCAGAAAAAGCCUCUUUACAGCCAUUCCUCCCUAAAAAAUGGUAAAUAAAAAGUGGAGGCUGUUGGUAGAUUCAUGUUUGAGAUAUUUUUCAUCAUUCAAAGAUAAUCAAAUAUUCUAAGAAAAAGAAGAUAUUCUAUGAAAAUGUAAAAUGAAGUGAUAACCCAACUUUCUCCCCUGCUGCUGAGUAUUUUGUGUGUUAUCUGUGGCUGUAGUGCUCUUAAAACAAAGCAAGGACAUUAUUCAUUCAGAAUCUGUAGUAUUAAGGUUGUGAAGUCAAGCACUCAUAAGAUAAGAAGUGCCAGUUUAGGUUCCCAUCUGCAUCUUAUUUUGUCCCUACCUAGCUGUUUAUGUUGCUAGCUGUUUUUUGAAAAAUUCAAAUUCCAUUUCUUGUUACAUUAUUUUGGCAUAUUUAAACACCUCUGGUUUUUUAACUUUGCCUACCCAGCCAAACGAUUUAAAAGUCUGUAAUUUCUGUAAAAAUAUUCCUGAUGCACUGGCAGGAUAUUUGUAAAGCAUGUCCUGGAAUUGCUUUCACAACUGUAUCAGGUCUCCCUAUUGCUGAGCAAGGUGCCACGGCAGGUCUGUCUUUACUGACAUAAUCCCUUCUAGAGUACCUGAGCCACCUCCUUCAUCCCUGUCCUACCUAUCAUUCAUUCUUGCUUUAUCCAAGGUGUAUUAACCACACUCAAAGUGCAGCCUUUCUAUAAUGCUGGGUCUUUUCAGGCUGCUCUGUACUUCAUGCAGUAGCAAAGGGUGUUUGAGAAAGGGCUUUUAUGUGUGGUAGAGAUGGUGCUGACUGCCUUGUACCCUGUGAAGCUGAGAGAUGUGCCAAUGACAGGAGUAGGGUUAGGGUGAGAGAAGAAUGAAAA
Molecule: non-coding RNA, 11696 nt
Organism: Taeniopygia guttata (zebra finch)
Lineage: Eukaryota; Metazoa; Chordata; Aves; Passeriformes; Estrildidae
Source: RefSeq, a predicted model, not a curated record